Leptidea sinapis is the source of this 916-nucleotide long non-coding RNA. RefSeq lists it as uncharacterized. The transcript is spliced from 2 exons. Lineage: Eukaryota; Metazoa; Arthropoda; Insecta; Lepidoptera; Pieridae. The record is from RefSeq and is a predicted model, not a curated record.
AAAGGCCGGCAACGCUCUUGUGAUUCCUCUGGUGUUGCAAGAGAAUGUGAGCGGCGCUGAUCACUUAACACCAUGUGACCCGUACGCUCGUUUGUCCUCCUAUUCCAUAAAAAAAAACUUUGGCUAGCAAAAUAUUUUAAUUCUUUAAAGUUGAAAGUAUCUAAGUGCCAUAAGAUUCCCGAAAUUCCAAAUUUACAAUAGACUGAGCGUUUCGAACAUUACACAAGAAACCCCCAAAUAUAUUUGAAAGAAUAGUGUGAGAGUUCAAUGGACAAACUUACACAUACUUUUUAAACCUUGCGGAGGAAAUGAGAUAAUAUAUUAUAUGAGAGUUGAACAAAGCAUAUAAGAUUUUAUGACGAUAUGUCACUUGAACCCUUAGCUCAGUUGGUUAGAGCACCGGCACGGAAAGCCGGAGGUCGUGGGUUCGAGUCCCGCAUCGUUCAUAAAAUUUUGUUUUUCAAAUUUUAUUUGUGUAUUAAUCCUAGAAGUGAGGGUUACACUUUAAAAAUAUAACAAAUUGUUUAGAUUUACAAGUGCGAUAUCUCAAGUCAAUUUCCUAAUAUGCAAAUAUUGGGGUUGAGCAGGUUAUCAACUGUAAAGUAGAUCCUGUAGAUGAAGCAACAACCUGAGAGUUGAACAAAGCAUACAAGAUUUUAUGACGAUACGUCACUCGAACGGUUAGCUCAGUUGGUUAGAGCACCGGCACGGAAAGCCGGAGGUCGUGGGUUCGAGUCCCGCAUCGUUCAUAAAGUUUUGUUUUUCAAAUUUUGUUUCUGUAUAAUAUAUUAUGUUUAUUUUAUGCGUUGAUGCGGAUGUGUGUUGGAUGUUGCCAUUAUUACAAUAAAUGCCAAGCAUUGCUGGAAUAUGUGAUAUAAUUUUCCCUAACCAAUAUAUUACAAUACUUUUACAAAUU